UCCAUAUGACUAGUGUUUCUAUGAGAAGGCAGCCAUGUGAAGAAACAGAGAUACACAAACAGAAGGCCACAUGAAGCUGGAGGCAGAGACUGGAGUGAUGCAUCUACAAGCCAAGGAACACCAAGCACUGCCUUUGUUCACCAGAAGCCAGGACACAGACAUGGAACCAAUUCUCCCCCAGAGCCUCCGAAAGGCACCAGCCUUGCUGACGUCUUCUUUUCAGACUUCUAGCCCCCAAAACAGUGGAGCUGAAUUCUGCCAACAACUUGAAUGAGCUUGGAAAUGGAUUCAUCCCUCAAACCUCCAGAAAGAAACACAAUCCUGUCUUGACACUUAACUUUGUGAGAUCCAGAGCAGAAAGUCAGCCAAGCCUAUUGGACUGCAACAUGUUUCUCAACCAUCAGCCAUCCGACCUUGAUCCUGGUUAAAUUUAAUUUAAUUCAAGAAAACAGAAGCAUUCAGGGUAGAACUCUUCCAAAGUCCCAACAUUUGUACUGACGUAAAAAGGUGUGUAAUUAUUUGCUUAAUGUCUUUUCAUGUCUCCUGCUCCGGGAGAUCAGGAAUGGAACCUGGCCACCAGUGUCCCCAGGACCCAGUACAAGGUCUACGAGGUGUUCACUAGGUAUCUAUUAUCUAAAUGAAUGAACAUCCUUCCUUUCUUUGUUUAUAAUUUUUUGUUUUAAAAGCAAGAACUUUAUUUUGAAUAUAAUAUAUGAUCAUGGUAAAAAGCCAGAAUAGUACCAACUUAUAUGAAAGGAAAUGUUAAAGUUCCCCUCCCUGGUAAAUUCCACAGGCUCCUUUCCUUACUUCUUUGUUUUCCAGCUUCAGAAGUCAACCUUCCCCUGAGCCCCAGAUUUCAUUCUUUUGUUGCAAUCUCCUCUAGUAAACACUUCUUCUUUGUGUGGACAGCCAGUGAGCAGGGCUUGGCAGGGCAGUUACACAGAGUGGCCAAAAGAGUUGCAACAGCUGAGGGUUAAGGCAGCAGUAUUGCCAGGCAGAACAGUGACUGGGUGCCAAAGAUGCUAAAUCAAUCAUCAGGUCCUAAGGGUGAAUAAAAUAAGAGGCAAAGCAAAGGUCAGAGGAAUGCAGGAGGAGGUCAAGAAUGUAAAUGUAAGGCAAGACUAAGUGAGAAGGUCCAGGACCACAUGGGUGAAUGGGAAAAGGAUACUAAAAAGGCAUUUAAAAUUUUUAUUUUGGGGGAUAUUACUGUGGGAUGCACCAGUGGGUUAAUGAAGGCUUCAUUGACACUGAGGAGAUGUCAGUGUCAACCCUAUUAAUUAUUAUCUCUCUCUCCAAUAUAUUGAACACCUCCCUUUUCUCUAAUUGUCUUUCUCAGACCACAAAUAUGUUGUCUUUUAACCUAAACACAAAAGAAGAAAAGAAACAAAAAACCUCUCCGCCAACCUGGUCUUCGCCUCCAACUACCUCAUCCAAUCUCUCUUCUGCCAAUUCUAGACAUAUUUCAAAGAAUAAUGUAAACUAAUGGCUGGGCACAGUGGCUUAUGCCUGUAAUCACAGCACUUUGGGAGGCUGAGG
Macaca mulatta (Rhesus monkey) is the source of this 1536-nucleotide non-coding RNA. Lineage: Eukaryota; Metazoa; Chordata; Mammalia; Primates; Cercopithecidae. The record is from RefSeq and is a predicted model, not a curated record.